This 479-nucleotide ribosomal RNA is filed under the name uncultured bacterium. Its description in RNAcentral is "bacterial SSU rRNA". It matches the Rfam family "Bacterial small subunit ribosomal RNA", at positions 30 to 506 of the family's 1533-position model. The record is from RNAcentral.
AUUGAACGCUGGCGGCAUGCCUUACACAUGCAAGUCGAACGGCAGCACGGGAGCAAUCCUGGUGGCGAGUGGCGAACGGGUGAGUAAUAUAUCGGAACGUGCCCAGUCGUGGGGAUAACGUAGCGAAAGCUACGCUAAUACCGCAUACGAUCUAUGGAUGAAAGCGGGGGAUCGCAAGACCUCGCGCGAUUGGAGCGGCCGAUAUCAGAUUAGGUAGUUGGUGAGGUAAAGGCUCACCAAGCCGACGAUCUGUAGCUGGUCUGAGAGGACGACCAGCCACACUUGGACUGAGACACGGCCCAGACUCCUACGGGAGGCAGCAGUGGGGAAUUUUGGACAAUGGGCGCAAGCCUGAUCCAGCAAUGCCGCGUGCAGGAUGAAGGCCUUGGUUGUAACUGCUUUGUACGGAACGAAACGGUAGAGCUCUAAUACAGUUGCUAAUGACGGUACCGUAAGAAUAAGACACCGGCUAACUACGU